CAAACUCUGUUAAAAAAUGAUGACUUCUCUGUUCGCUCCCGAUCGUCUUCUUCCCCAUUUCGAACGUUGAAGGAUUUCUCAGAGGAAGCUUCCUGCGUACGCCAUCCGGUAGAGGUCUUGUUUUGUCACCGAUAGAGAUCCCGACUGUCUUCCCAUUUCGACAUUGGUCCAUUUGUUUUGAACGUUGGAGAGGUUUCUCACCGUCUUCCUCAUUUCGAGCGUUGAAAGAUUUUUUAGAGGCUCCUGUGUUCACCGUCCAGUAGAGGUUCCGACCGUCUUCCCCAUUUCAACAUUUUUUCGCUCCUUCCAGCCAUUUUUUUCAAACGUUGAAGGGUUUAUCAAAGACCGUCUUCCCUAUUUCGAACGUUGAAAGAUUUCUCAGAGGCUCACUACGUUCACCAUCCAGUAGAGAUCCCGUUUCCUCACCAUUAGAGAUUCGACCAUCUUCCCCAUUUAGACAUUUAUUUGCUUCUUUCGUCCCUUUGAUUCCUCGAAUGUUGGAAGGUUUCUCAUAGGCCCCAUGUACUAGCCAUUGAAGCCAGCCGUUCUUCACCGUCAGAAAUGAGCUCUCUCAGCCAUCAUGCACCCUCACAUCCAAAUCUGAUCAUCUGUGGCACGUCGAAGAUCAAAAACUUUGUUUGUUGGACAUUUGGUAGAUUAUAGUGGGAUUUGCUCCUCCAAUACCCUGUUCCAUUGCUCUGAAUGCGUUCGAGGGUGAUCUCCUUCUGGGCUGGAUACGUUGACGAUUUAUAACGCAUUAGUGAUUAUGCCUGGGGAAAUGUGUACAUGAAUUCUUGGCCGGUGGUCUUGACCAGUUUGUUUCUAGUUGUGGUGCUGGAUUGAACGGAGGUUCAUCCUCAUUUAGUGGUUGCCUAUUUGGAUGCAACGUUGUGUUGAUGGCAUGGCUUUACGAGCACACAAUGCUAUUCACUCCUUCAGUUCUCAAUGCUAGUCCUCAUUUGUUCAAGUGGGGGAACAUGGGGUAUCAAUGGAGGCAAAAGAGAGCUGAUUUGUUGAAGAAAGCUAAGCCAUAAAUGGUUCUCACUUCUGUUCCUCUACUUAUGGUGUUUGUAAUUAUUUGUUUUGUUGUGGGGAGACCCAAGAUCUCAUAUGGAUCUGUAAACCCGUUACAAGUUAUUGAGGUUCUGAACCCUACUAGUGAGGAGGUGGUCUUAGUGGAGGUUCAGUCAGAGGGCUGUUUUGUGGACCCAGGGGGCCAUAGUGUGGGUAAGGAACCAUUUUCUGAUAGAAAGGACCCUGGUCACGGGUGGGGUCAAAGGGGGCAAAAAGGGUUUCUGUAAAUUCUACAUCGAAUCUAUGGAAUAUCAAAUUCUGUGUACAAAGGCCAACCAGUACGCCUCGACAAGAAAGCAGAAUGAGGCACUUUGUGAGGAAGUUAAUAGGCUCUAUACAAUGUUGAGAAAUAAAGGAUUGGACCCGGAUGUAGUACCAUUGAGUGAGGGGCUGAUAGGUUUGGCAACAUGCGUGCCAGAAGAUGAUGAUAAUGGUGCAGACUUGCCUGUUGGAGUUGUAGGCGGCACCACAGGGGUAGAGCAAUCUCUUGAAAGGACUAGCACUGUAGCCCCAUCUUGCGAGAUUGUUAAUGUGUCUCCCUCCAUUGCCUCAUCCUACAAGCAUAAGUUUUCUCGGGCAAGGAGAGAAAGAAAGCAAAGAAACACAGUGGUGUCGCCUUACCUAGCUCCUGGGCAACAAGGGCAGGUAGCGAAAGAGUUUGCCAUUGCUGCAAGGUCCAAAAGAGCAAUAAAGGAGAAGGUGAAGUAAUAACAGUUGGUAUUGUCAUGGUGUUAUCUAUAGGGUUGAGUUGGUUGUUGCGUGUAGGGUUGAGUUGCUUAGUAGUUUAGUGACUAGUGGAGUAUUUGUUGCAGUCGAUGGAUACAUGAUCCUUGUGGACUUCUUUUAAGAUAAAGGGCUUGCUCCCAAAGGAGGACAUAGCAGUUGUGAAAUUGUUCUUGAACAACUCCAAGAGAGGGCAAGUGCACAUUAUUGUA
Molecule: long non-coding RNA, 2009 nt
Organism: Nelumbo nucifera (sacred lotus)
Lineage: Eukaryota; Viridiplantae; Streptophyta; Magnoliopsida; Proteales; Nelumbonaceae
Source: RefSeq, a predicted model, not a curated record